Molecule: long non-coding RNA, 2650 nt
Filed under: Homo sapiens (human)
Lineage: Eukaryota; Metazoa; Chordata; Mammalia; Primates; Hominidae
Description: HSALNT0092071
Source: RNAcentral
GAUGCAGAAAAUGAAGUUAAUAUGGAGAGUUUCUGUAUUUUAGAGUUUCUUGCUUUAGAGUUUCUUUAUUUCCAUUCUUAUACUGUGAUCAAAGUUAAGGGGUCAUCAGUUUAAAAUAAGCUGUUGUAAUUAUAACGUGUUACUUGCCUUGAAGUAGUCUUAUUUGAGUUAAAUCUUUGGUGAUCUCCGACACUCCUUCACUUGGAUAUCUAUGUAUUUAUUCUAGGCUUGGAAAGUUUUCUGUUAUUAUUUCUUUCAAUAAUCUUUCUACCCUUUAUUCCUUCUCAACUCCCUUUUGAAGGUCAAUGACUCUUAGAUUUGUACUUUUGAGGCUGUUUUCUAGAUUUUAUGUUUUUCAUUUUUUGUUCUUUUCCUGUUUUCUUCCCUGACUUUUUUUUUUUUAAUUUAUAAAGAAAAGAGGUUUAAUUGACUGCCAGUUCCACAUGGCUGGGGAGACCUCAGGAAACUUACAAUCAUGGCAGGAGGCAAAAGGGAAGCAAGGCACAUCUUACAUGGCAGCAGGCAAGAGAGAGGAGAGGAACUGCCAAACACUUUUAAAUCAUCAGAACUCAUGAGAACUCACUAUCACAAGAACAGCAUGAGUGAAACCACCCCUAUGAUCCAAUCACUUCCCACCAGGUCCCUCCCUCAACAUGUGGGGAUUACAGUUCGAGAUGAAAUUUGGGUGGUGACACAGAGCCAAACCAUAUCACAUGUGGUGUUUAACUUUCUGUUCAUAGUUUAUUUCACUUAAUGUCCUCCAGUUCCAUCCACAUUGUGAAUGACAGGAUUCCAUUCCUUUGUUGUUGUUGUUGUUGUGAGACAGGAUAUUUGCUUAGUUACCCAUGCUGGAGUGCAGUGGCUCGAUCAUAACUCACUGUGGCCUUGAUCUUCCAAGCCCAAGUGAUUCUCCUGCCUAAGCCUCCUGAGUAGCUGUGACUACAGGUGUGCAUCUCCAUGUCUGGCUACCUUUUGUAUUUUUUGUAGAGAUGGGUUUUUGCCACGUUGCCCCAGUUGUUCUUGAACUCCUGAGCUCAAGUGAUCCUCCGCUCUCAGUCUCCCAAAGUGCUGGGAUUACAGGCAUGAGCCACUGCACCUGGCCAUAGAAUUUCAUUCUUUUUUUUUUCUCUGACUUUUUGAUAUUUCUAAAUAGCUGUCUUUGAGCUCACUGAUGUUUUUUCUUCUGCUUGAUCAAUUUUGCUGUUGAGAACCUCAAAUGCAUCUUCAGCUCCAGGACUUCCAUUUGAUUUUUUUCAACCUCUUUGUCAAGUUUCUCUGAUAAAAUUUUGAAUUCCUUCUCUGUAUUUUCCUAAAGUCGGUUGAGUUCCUCAAAGCAGUAAUUUUGAAUUAUCUGUCUGAGAGGUCACACAUAUCCCUCUAUUUAAAGUUAGUCACUGGCACCUUAUUUAGUUUGUUUCAUGAAGUCAUAAUGCCUUUCAUAUUCUUGAUGCUUGUGAACAUUCAUCAAUGUCUGUGCAUCAAGGCAUUAGGUAUUUACUCUAGUCUUUGCCCUCAGACCUUGUUUGCUUUAUCAAGCAUAACAUCAAUGAAAAACUUGUAUCCAGAAAGAUAUACAGAAAGAACUCCUAAAACUCAGCAGUAAUAUAGGCAUUGUGAAAACACUGAUAUUCUGUUGAAAUGUGACCUCCAAUGUUGCAGGUAGGCCUAAUGCGAGAUGUUUGGGUCAUAGACAUGGAUCCUUCACGAAUGACUUGGUGUUGUCUUCACAGGAAUAAGGAAUCCUGACUUAAGACAUUGGCAUCAUCAAGUCUAAGUAAACAUAUCUUAAUAUGAGAUAUUGAAGCCUGUUCCUCUAUCAGCCAGCUGACUUUUUCAGAAAAAAAGUAUUCCUGACAUUUAUUCUUUUCUUAAAUCCUCUAUCCUCUUGGACCCUGAAGACAUCGUCAGCAUUUGGAUUUUAUUCAUGACAGAUACAUGUCUCUUUAAAAAGUGUGGAUUUAUCUCCUGAAUAUUAGUUUCUCAAUGAUUUAUCCACCACAUUUUCAUAACUUGUGUGAGGGAUCAGUACCACCUUCCAGCGGUAGAUCUUAUUUUUGCCGCUCAAUUUUUGCUCUGUUCUCUUUCUAGUAAGGGCUUUAUCCUGAAUCAUUUAUUGACAUGCGGCCUAUAGAGACCUCCUUAAAGAGGUACUACAUUAUUGUCCCAUUGAUUUAGGGCCUGGCCACAUUUCAAGCUUUAGCCAAUGGAAUGUGAGGGAAUAUAGCGUAUAGAAACAUCUGAGAAGAAAAAGAAAAACUUCAGAAGGCAUCAAGUGUUUCUGACAGGUCUGUCUUGCUAGAUGUCCCAAAUAAGGACCACUUCUUGAAGAGGCUGGAAUCUGGUGUGAGAAGACAAGGGGAACAGAGCCACAGAAGUUGAUCCACAGCCAUGGAUAUCUGUCUGGAACAAUAAAUCAAUGUCAGUUGUAGCCACUGUCAUUUGGGGGGUUGUUUGUUAUUAAUAAAGCCAACUAAUAAAAUUCAUAACUAGAUUAGAAAACAAUCAAGAUGAAACAUUUUAACAAAAAAUUUGAAUUGCAAAUUUGAAUGCAUCUUAAAUGACGUCGAGUAAAAAAGUUUGCCGCUUGAACAGAAAUAAAAAUUUUAAAUUUAUUAAAAUUCACAUUAAUAAAAAAUAAGAAUACUCUGCA